GAACAACUAACCAAUCCCUAUGCACAAUAUCCACCCCUUGAUUCACGCUAGACAAUAGUGGGGAUAGGUUUGGAUUUUGAAAACCCUUAUCCCUAUCCAUUGUCCCCGAACUACUACAAAAUUACUGUUUUACAUCAUUACAUCUACAUCGGUUCCUCUACAAACAAUGUAAAUAAGAAACGCGGCAGCAGUUUUGUAAAUAAAUUGAAGAUGUAAACCAUUCUACAUCGGGUCUAUUUCUGACUGAUGUAAAAAUUGAAUGACAAUAUUAUUCUACAUCGGGUUUUGCAUUUAACCGAUGUAAAACUGAAGCCAAAUUUUCGCGGCCCCUUCACCCUUUCAACACAACACUCUACUGUUGCCAAUCUAUUUCACUCAGCAGCAACAACACUCAAAACCCUAGAGAAGAGCGUGCAAGUUCCGGCUACCCACCCACCAUGACAUUCAAGCGCAGGAAUGGAGGCCGCAACAAACACGAUCACGGCCACAUCAAAUUCAUUCGAUGCUCCAACUCACAAGAUUGAACCCUCUCGACACACAUCGCCCUCUCCAACCUCUCCCUCCCCUCCGACUACGCCGUCGCCGUGGUCCUCUCGCGCCUUGCCCACGACCUCUCUGCCAAAACCCGGAGUUCAUUAAGAUCCCGGUGGGGCGGUGCCGCCUCCUGGAAGCCACACCCAGGCCUUCGAGGAACUCACCUCCCUCCCCAACAUGUGCGGUGCCAUCGACACCACCCCCACUCCAGCCCUAACCCCAACACCUACUGCCACCGACGACGCCACCCACUUUCGCAUAAUAGGCAAAUGGCAAAGUAUGAUGUUGCAAUAUCAACAGCAUGUCGUGGACUUGAUUAUAUUGUGGUGGAAACAACAAAUGCAACUCAAGCAUGUGUUGAGUUACUUCGUAGAGAGAAUCUUGGGUUGCUACUUUCAUGAUAUUGCUGGUCAACGGUUUUGAACUACUUGAAGUUAAGAACGUGGUGUUAAUAGCAAUUUUAUGUUGGUUUGGAGGUGGUCUACUCUUGGGUAGCAUCCUUUUAAAUCAAAGUUGGGGAGUGAAAGCAAGCUAGAUUCUGUCAAGUUUCAGUUUAUAAAAUAAUGCCCUUGAUUGAAUACAAUUUGUUUGUCAAUGAUUGAUGAUAUGUUCAGUUAUGUAAUGUUUUUUAUGUGCUGAUAGUACGCAACCCAGGUGUUUAUUUGAUAAAUAUAAUUUGGACAUCAUUUCUUUAUUCAGGAGAAGCAAGUUGACCUUCUUCCAAUGUUGAGAAAGAAAG
Molecule: long non-coding RNA, 1273 nt
Organism: Cajanus cajan (pigeon pea)
Lineage: Eukaryota; Viridiplantae; Streptophyta; Magnoliopsida; Fabales; Fabaceae
Source: RefSeq, a predicted model, not a curated record